AUUGAACGCUAGCGGGAUGCUUUACACAUGCAAGUCGAACGGCAGCGCGGACUUCGGUCUGGCGGCGAGUGGCGAACGGGUGAGUAAUGUAUCGGAACGUGCCCAGUAGCGGGGGAUAACUACGCGAAAGCGUAGCUAAUACCGCAUACGCCCUACGGGGGAAAGCAGGGGAUCGUAAGACCUUGCACUAUUGGAGCGGCCGAUAUCGGAUUAGCUAGUUGGUGAGGUAACGGCUCACCAAGGCGACGAUCCGUAGCUGGUUUGAGAGGACGACCAGCCGCACUGGGACUGAGACACGGCCCAGACUCCUACGGGAGGCAGCAGUGGGGAAUUUUGGACAAUGGGGGCAACCCUGAUCCAGCCAUCCCGCGUGUGCGAUGAAGGCCUUCGGGUUGGAAAGCACUUUUGGCAGGAAAGAAACGUCGCGGGCUAAUACCCCGUGGAACUGACGGUACCUGCAGAAUAAGCACCGGCUAACUACGUG
This 484-nucleotide ribosomal RNA is filed under the name uncultured bacterium. RNAcentral describes it as "partial 16S ribosomal RNA". It matches the Rfam family "Bacterial small subunit ribosomal RNA", at positions 30 to 507 of the family's 1533-position model. The record is from RNAcentral.